Long non-coding RNA from Planococcus citri (citrus mealybug), 1438 nucleotides. RefSeq lists it as uncharacterized. The transcript is spliced from 5 exons. The record is from RefSeq and is a predicted model, not a curated record. NCBI's taxonomy places the organism in Eukaryota, Metazoa, Arthropoda, Insecta, Hemiptera, Pseudococcidae.
UUUUGGUGGUGUGGUGAUUGAGUUUUCAUUUUUGAUUUUUUUUUCAACUCCUUCAUUAGUUGAUGUGUUGAUGAUUUUUAUAGCUAUUUGUUUUGUUUCUGAAGGAAAACUUAGUGAUAAUAAGUUGAUGAAUUGAAUUUUACAGACAUGAAGCUUGAAGUAUUUGAUUCUAAUUUCAACGUAGAAUGCUCAACCUCAACAGUCAACACUCAGCGAUUUCAACGUAGAUCGAAAGCUCCAAUUCCAGGAUCCCAUAUCGAGAUUCAAUCUUAUUUUCAACCAGCAGAGGUAUCAAGGUGAACGUCUGUACUGUGACUGCUGCUUCAAGAACAAGGUAAUACAGAGAAGACAAUACAAUGUAGUUACUUGAAGUUUAUUACGAGUAUUAUGAAGUAGGUAUCAGUAAGAUGGAAAGGAUAUCGCUGACGUGUUUUUUCCUGUUCUCGACUGUAAUACGUAGAAUAAGAUAACCUAUGAUGGGAGUUUAAUUUAAACUUGAGAAUGGAAAUGGAACAAUCAAUCGCUGUUCGUUUAUCGAAUGUUGAUUCAGAAUGAAUCGUUCGAAUCUGACAAUGAGAACUGAAAAUCGAAUCCGAUGCAUUCUACGUCCAGAGUAAACAAACCUCCAUCUUAAAUCACUCAAAACCGAACCCGAAUUACGGCGAAAGAAUCACCCACCAAGCGAAUUUAUCAACUUACCACCAUCUCGUGUACGUUGGCGAAUUAAUUUAUUAAUUCCGGCUUGCAGAUCGGACUCUGCUGGUGAUUCGAAAACGGAUUCUAAAUCCGCGCUUAAUACUACUCCUGCAACAUGUUAGACCGGAACUCAACUAUCACAAGUGUUUAACCAAGGUGUUUGUAUAACGGUCAUCUUGAAGGGACUAGACACUCGUACACGUGCGCUGUCAACCGUAUCAAAUCAUAGGUUUAAGUCUAUGCGGUAAUUAAUUCAUGAAGGAUGUGUUCUUAUUUGUGGCAGUUGAUUAGAAACAAGAUGACUUAUUAACCUCGUCGAGAUAUCGUGUUACAGCAGCGACAUAUCUACCUACGCAGCGUCGAUAAUGGUUAGUUUACGUCGAUACAAUGGAUUCUGUUUCACAGAAAGAAGGGGGAGAGUGAUGGAAAUCGAACGAACGUCGAGUUGUGAAGUUUAUACAAAAAUUCAUCAUCGUUCUAAUUCCCAAUUUAUUCUUCGAAAUUGAAAAAAAUCGAUUAUUUCGAUACAGCUACCUUUGUUUUAUAAAUCUUCGAAACUAAGCCAUCCCUUUUUCAACCCCCAAAGCACAGAUUCGCAAUAAAACCCUCAGCUCGGCUGCAGCUUCGUCGGUAACUGCAGGAAAAAAACCGUUUGAAUUUCUUUAUCGUUGAUUUCAGCCGAAAAAAAAUUUAUGUUUAAUUUGAUGGUCGAUAUAAAAAAUCUGGAGUAAAACAUUAUAAA